UACGGAGGGUGCAAGCGUUAUCCGGAUUUACUGGGUUUAAAGGGUGCGUAGGCGGCCCUGUAAGUCAGUGGUGAAAUCUCUCAGCUUAACUGAGAAACUGCCAGUGAUACUGCAGGGCUUGAGUACAGAUGAUGUUGGCGGAAUAUGACAUGUAGCGGUGAAAUGCAUAGAUAUGUCAUAGAACACCGAUUGCGAGGGCAGCUGACAAAACUGUAACUGACGCUGAGGUGCGAAAGCGUGGGGAGCAAACAGG
Molecule: ribosomal RNA, 253 nt
Filed under: uncultured bacterium
Lineage: Bacteria
Description: partial 16S ribosomal RNA
Rfam family: Bacterial small subunit ribosomal RNA
Source: RNAcentral